GCAUAAUUUUUUGUGGUGCAUUUACUUGAUUGGUGCUUGGGGAUGUUUGAGGCAGAUUUGUUUCCGCCGUUUUGAGGCCAGCUUGCUGGUACCCAAACGGUGUUAGCAUUUUUUGUCUUGGGCAUUUGAGUAUGGCUCACGGGUAUUUAUUGGACAGAUCUGAGUGUAAGUUACGGUCGCAUGCGACACGUGCUUUUCAAUUAGUUCGGUCCAGUUAAUGCUCUCGUACUCGUUCCCCAUGUAAAAGCCGGUCAUCUAUCCGACCCGUCUUGAAACACGGACCAAGGAGUUUAUCGUGUGCGCAAGUUUUUGGGUGUUAAAAACUUAAAAGCGAAAUGAAAGUAAAUGACUCUUUAGAGUCUGAUGUGCGAUCUUGUAAAAAAGUGUAGCAUGGCCCCAUUCUAACUGUUUACAGUAGGGUGGCGGAAGAGCGUACGCGGUGAGACCCGAAAGAUGGUGAACUAUUCCUGAGCAGGACGAAGCCAGAGGAAACUCUGGUGGAAGUCCGAAGCGGUUCUGACGUGCAAAUCGAUCGUCUGACUUGGGUAUAGGGGCGAAAGACUAAUCGAACCAUCUAGUAGCUGGU
This 586-nucleotide ribosomal RNA is filed under the name Meloidogyne incognita (southern root-knot nematode). RNAcentral's name for it is "LSU rRNA". It matches the Rfam family "Eukaryotic large subunit ribosomal RNA", at positions 476 to 955 of the family's 3401-position model. The record is from RNAcentral. Lineage: Eukaryota; Metazoa; Nematoda; Chromadorea; Rhabditida; Meloidogynidae.